UUUGUCUUCAGACCAUGAAACUGCCUCAAGCUGUAAAGCUUCCUGCCUAGGUCAAAAUUGUGGCUAUCAGACUAAAACCCUCCCAGUUCAGUACCACAAAGGGAGGGUAUUGUAUUAGUCUGUUCUCACAUUGCUGUAAAGAAAUACCUGAGACUUGUAAUUUAUAAAGAAAAAAGGUUUAAUUGGCUCAUGGUUCUGCAGGCUAUACAGGAAGCAUGAUGCUGGCAUCUGCCCAGCUUCCAGGAGCCCUCAGAAAGCUUACAAUUAUGGCAGAAGGCAAAACAGAAGUAGGCGUGUCUGGAGCAAGAGAGAUCCAGUGGGGAGGUGCUACACACUUUUAAACAACCAGAUCUCAUGAGAACUCACUCACUAUCACAAGAAUAGGACCAAAGGGAUGGUGCUAAACUAUUCAUGAGAAACACCUCCAUGAUCCAAUCACCUCCCACCAGGCCCCACCUCCAACAUUAGAGAUUACAAUUCAACAUGAGAUUUGGGCGGGGACACAGAUCCAAUCCAUAUCAGGCAUCUAACUCCCACACCUGUGGCUGGAGCCCAUGCCACUCACCUCUCCUACUCAAAACUAGAUUGCAAAUUCCCAUCCAGAGACUCUCCAAAUCAGUGACUGCAACCCAUGCUUGUUGGCAGGUUCUUAUACAACCCACUAUGAGUUAGCAUCAAAAAUGGCUUUCUCCUAUCAGCACCCAUGUUUGGGAGUGUGUGUGGGGUACUUCCCAGUGCCGUUCCUUCUCAUGGUCUCCUGACUGCUCCCUGAGUCAGAUCAGGGCUUGGUAAAGUCAAGAAGCUCCUCCAUGGCCUGGAUUGCCUGGCUGUCCAGUGGGAAUGUGUAUCACAGAGACAGUUUCUCCCCGUCUCACACACUGAGGAUUCACUCACAGUUUCCCACCAGAUCCACCCCGCAGGCUGCUGCUUGCCUUAUUUUUCAGAGUAUCCAAAGUUUCUUUCACUUUUAUGUUGAACUCCCGUGUUCUUUCUUGGAUAAAAUUUCUUUUUUUUGUUUUAUAGUACUAUGAUUCAUUUGAAACCUAUUAUCAGCCUUAUGACCAUACCAAGUUGUGCCAGUCAUUUAAAAUUUUUAGUUUUUCAUUAUUCAACAUACAUUGAUAUACAGCCUUACAUGCAUGUCUAUGAGAAAGUGGUAGGAGAAAGCUCUCAGCUGAUUUUUGUGCAACUGAAUGACCAUUAAUGCUUGGCAAUCUUCCCAACUGAAUCUGACUCAAGUAGAAAUAGUUAACAUUAAUCAAAAGAGAUUAAUUACCUGCCACCAGUCUUUUGAAACAGUCUGUCCUGAGAAAAAGAGAAUUCGAUGAUAUGUAAAUCCAUGUUCUUUGGGAAUGCUUAUUUCUCCUUUUCUUGGGAUACAGAAGAAGAGACAGACUCAGAUACAAACCUCAAUACCUGAAAUCAUUAGCUUUGGUCUUGGUGGGAUCAAAACCAAAAAAUAAAAGCUAUUAAUAUGUGAUUGAAUACACAAACACACGUGCGUGUAACCUAACGUGGAUUUUCACAUAACAAUUGCUAUUUUAAAAUGUUAUUAGUUACUUAACCCAUAUGAUUUAUCUUAGAACCACAGAACCUCAGAGCUAAAAUGAACAUUUUAUAAUAACAAACCGGGUCCAAAAUAAAUGACUUACAUAGAUUUAUAAGGUAAUUAAUGACAGAGCUGAGUCAAGGAUUCAUGUUUCUUGAUGCCUAGUUUAGUAGUCUUUGAUGCAACAGACAUCAAGUACAUAUUAUAUCUAGAAGUAAUGUAUUAAAGAUAAUCUUUUGGCUUAAAUCAUUUUAGAAUGUGUAACAUCCUUGUAAUACAAGUCAUUACCCAUUUCAACUAGAGAAGAAGAUAUAUAGAAAUAUCAAAUGUUAACAAGGUAAUAGGCCAUUGCUUUUGUGUAAUUCAAAAUUUGAUAAUGAUUUUGUUCUUUGCCCUAGUUAUUGAUAAAAUUCUUAAAGUGAACAUUGCCUGACAAUUGUAUCAUCAAGAGCAAAUACUCAGCUUUGAGACCUUGGAUCUAAAAAGCUAAAACUCUGCAUUUCUGUUAAACAUGUAUUGAUCUGGCAGUUGACAGCAGGUUGUCAAAGUGCCUUAUGGUGGAAGUUGUAAUAGAUGAUAUCUACGUCCUCCUCUAAUGAGUGAGUCUACCAAAGACCAUGGAGAGGAAAAUGUGCCUCUUAUUGCCUGACUCCUGAUGAAUAAGACUUCAGUGAAGUGCAGAAAACAGGCCUCUGCUAGGUCUAUCCAUGACAGGCAAGUUACCCAAAUGAAAACCUUGGGCUCUGUCUCAGCUGUCACCCUAACUUUCAAGUGACAGCAGCUAGCCUUUCAAAGUUCUAAGCACCUUUGAAGAGUUUCUGAUAACACAUUUAAAAGUAUUAUCACAGAUGAAAGAGAAUUCAUUAUGUCAGACCUACCUCAAAAGUUUUAAGUUUGUUCUUAAGUCCUUUCAGAGAAAUUAACAAUCCAGGAAUAAAUCUUUUAAUUUACCCUACCUAUUGUGGUUACUAGUACAAGGCACCUUUCUGAUAAUGAAACAGAAAUCCUUUCAUUCCUGGAAUUUCCUGUUGGGAGUGUAGAGUUUUCUGAGCAAUAUGUAACGUUGGUUAGUUACGCAAUAUGUUGGAUUUUACUGCCAGCUUUGUUUAAAAAGGGUGUGAGAGGCUUUGACCAACAGGAAUGUGAAGUCAAAGUUAAGUAUGGCAUCAUCUUACCACCUGUCACAUGAAUAAACCCGGAUUCAUAAGCAAAUAUGUUAUACAUUUAAGUGUUUUUAUUAACUCAGAUAAGCUAACUAUAAAAUAGUUUUAUCUUUACCUGUAUAUAAUUUGGAGAAACUAUCUUUUUCCCUCCAGGAAAAUGUUAGUGGAGAAAAAUUGGUCCCCAAAGUUGCAUACAAAAGUUAUUAAACAUGUGAGGGAGGUUGUCUUCAGUGAUUGCAGGGGAGAUGGAUG
Molecule: long non-coding RNA, 2964 nt
Filed under: Homo sapiens (human)
Lineage: Eukaryota; Metazoa; Chordata; Mammalia; Primates; Hominidae
Description: non-protein coding lnc-TC2N-1:2
Source: RNAcentral